Molecule: long non-coding RNA, 5636 nt
Filed under: Sus scrofa (pig)
Lineage: Eukaryota; Metazoa; Chordata; Mammalia; Artiodactyla; Suidae
Description: lncRNA (ENSSSCG00055021274.1)
Source: RNAcentral
AAUGUGGUCAGCGAUGUGUGGUGGGGAUGGGGGCUGCCCCUCCUCUGUGACCAAUUCCUCAGGAAUUCACUCCUCUGCAGCUGUGAAACCCCACCUCCUCCUGCUGCCCUUUGUCUCCUUUCUCCUUUCCUGCCAUCACAUGGCCUCUUCCUCAGGUCCUUGGGCCCAGAGGCCUCCCCCAGUAUGGCUUGUGACCCUCUUCCCCACAGGGCAGCCCCCACCCCAGCUGAGCUCCCUGCCUCUGCCUCCUGUUUGAGGAGGGUGCUGUGUCUGCUCUGGCCAGUUUCAGGGAGCAUCACAAAGGCUCCUUUCACCAGAGGGCAUUGUAGGGGGACUGGGAGGGGACGCGGUGCCCUCCUGCCUGUGGGCAUAAAGACCCCCUUUCUCUUGUGCUGCGUCAGUCCUCUGUCUCUCUCUCUACUGGCAGGCAGAGGGGCCCCGUGCAGGGAGAUUCUUGUCCUUCCUUUUAAAGUACUGGGGCCAGGCCAGACAAUGACGGUGAUUUAUAGUUGCUGGGCCGUGGGGCUGCCUGCUGGGGUGGCAUUGAUUGGCCAGGAGUGCCUGGAUGCAGAGAACCCUGCACCACUGGGUCUGGGGGUGUCUGCCUAGGACCCCACAGGGGGAGCCCUGACUUACCAGCUAUUAAGUGAAAGGGUGCUGGUAAUUUCAGACUCCUCCAGCUCUGCUGUGCUGGGCUGCUGCUUCAACUGGCCUCUGCUUGAGUCUGUUAGCUCUGGAUUUCUCAGCCCCAACUCAUGUCAGAACCCUUGCACUGCAGCUCCGACAUUCUGUGCUGGACAGAAACCAGGAAGUGGGAGCACACAGGAGCCACAGGGAUCAUCGGAGGGGAUGAGGGGGAGCUGGGGGAACAACUUAGAGGUAUGAUGCCCACAUAUGCCCGCAGAACAGCUGGAUCUGUGGUGGGGAGUGCUAGAGAGCCGGAGAGAGAGGGAUGGGGAGCGGGUGUGCAAAAGGAGGGAGAGAGAGGAGCCAGGAGAGAGGAACACACACACACAGGAACAAGAGAGAAAUGAUUCAGAGGAAAAGAGAGGGGGAAAGCAGGAGGGGGAGGGGGAGAAUGGGAGAAAGAGGAUGAAAGAGGUGGAGGCCAGAGCCAGGCGGAGCAGAAAGCAGAGCAGGUGAAACGCCAGAGGACUUCUCCCCAGUCCUCACUGACCUUCCCUCCCACUGCCCGCCCCACGCCUGCAUCCCCACCCGAGGCCUCGCUGGCCGGGGAGGGAGGCAGGGGCAUGCCUCUGCAGCGACCUGAGCCACUGCAGUCAGCUUCUUUACCCACUGUGGCACAGUGGGAACUCCUAGAAGGAACUUCUAGAUUAAACAGCAUGACAGGCCCACAAGGGAAGUAGCCCUUCAUUGGAGCCCUGGCCUUCCUGAAGCAGGGGACUGGCCACCAUGACCUCCCGUCUUGUCUUAUUCUGAGUUGAUAGUACCCCCCCGGGAAGAAGGCAGGGUCAUGGUCAGGGGCUUAGGCGCCGGAGUCAAGCUGGGCUGGUGUGGUCACAGCAUCUGUCCAGGUGGGCCUCCUGACCGACCGGCUCCUCUCCACCCCCAGCUUUUGUUCUAGGAAAAGGCAGCUGGGGGAGGGGGUGGAGGGCAGGAGUGUUUCCAGGGAAAAAAACAGAUCCUUCCAUGGAACAGGCAGCUGGCGCCUCCAUCUCCCGCCACUUCACCCCUCCGCCUCCAUCCUGUCCCCCUCCUGCCACCGCCUCCAUUCCUUCCUUCCUCCCCUCUGGCAGGAGGAGCCCAGCAGCUGGAAAAGCCAUGCUCUGCUCCCAACUCCCACCUCAGCAGUGCUGAGCCCAGGGUGGCCCUGCAGAGGGUGUGUGUGUGCGUGUGAGAGAGAGAAAGCACUGCCUGGCCACCAUCGCCUGUAAUGCUGGCAGCGGGAGAGGCAGCCUGAGCUGACCACUUGGAGCCUUGGUUUUGUCAUCUGAAAUAUGGGCAUGACCCUUGCCCUGCUUCCCUAAUAGGGUCACAGAAACCAAGGAGGGAGGGGCAGGAACAUGUCCCUGAGGCCCCCUGAUCCCUCAUACCAGUCAUCAAGGCAGGUGCUGUUAUUAAUGUCCCCUUUUCCCAGCGAGAGCCUGAGGCUCAGAGAUGUAAAGGGCCCACAGCAGGAAGGGUAGCCCAGAGACUGCAGCCCAGUUCCGACCAACACGUUACCCACAAGGCCCCUGGGCGCCGCUUCCUCCCUCCAGGGCUCUGAGGCUCCUAGUCCCUCAUGCUGAAGAACUGCCUCUCCCCAGGGACUGGGGGGCCCUUCCUGACUUAGUGGACUUUCAGCAGGCUGUCUCAGCCUAAAGAAUCCCCACAGCCACCCCCCUCCCCCCGUCCAACUCCUUGUCAUUUAUUUGAGGAGCCUGAGGCCCAGGGGCCUAGAGCUUUAGGUUGCAAAACACGUGGGACAGAACUGGGAUUCCGGCUUCCUGCCUAAUGGUCCUGGCUGUGGGCUGUUUUUCUCUCUUCCUUCCUCUAAGCCCGAACUAGUUCCUGGAAGGGUUAUCAACACAGGCACGCUCCCCUUCCUCUCUCUUUUCUGCCUGGCCCAAACCCCACCUAACCCUCCCCAAAUGGGGGGCUCAGCUGGGCAGGGAUGCUGAGUGAGGCUUCUGGACAUCCCUUCUGGCUCCCUUUCCCUUUCUGAGGUGUAAGCUCUGCCUCCUGCAGGCUGCUCAGCAGGACCCAGCCCUUCUCCAGACCUCAUCUUCACCCUGACCCCCUCAUCCCAGUGUAAACACCGUGGCCUUUGGCUGAGGCCCCUGAGACCAGCUCCUUGGUUGGUCAGCCUGGAGAUCCCCCCACAACCACCACCACCACCAGGGCACAGGAAACAGCCAGAAACAAGCCCCUUCCCCAAUAUCAACUUUUUCCUGAGUCCAAGUCUGAGGAGGCUUCCAGGAGGAGAAGGGAUUUAGGGAGUGCUUGCCAGUCCGAGGUGGCUUGGGUAGGGAUGGUGCCCAAAGCAGAGAGGGGAGUGAAGGUAGAUGGGGCUGGGGAAAGUUCCAGAACAUACUUGGCACGAGACCUGCAGCCCUCCUAGAGCCGGCUAACCAACACAACCAAAGGGACAGAGGGGGGACACAGCCAGAGGAGACAAGGCCUAGGGGCACAGAUACCAAGUCUGCUGGGAAGACACUGGGGCAGGGGUGACCCCCACGCACCCGGGCUCAGUCCACUGUGUCAACCACUAUCAGCCCUGAAGCUGCUGCUCUCCCUGGGCUCAGCUCAGUCUGUCACAUGUCAUGGCUGUUUUGGGGUGCCCGGUUCUGAGCUCUGGGGUGCCUCAGAUGCCAUACCUGCCCCUGGCAGGUACCACUUGGUGGGGGCACUGCACACUCCCUGCAGCAGGAGUGGUUCCUGAUGGCCCAGAUCCCUGGGCUGGUGCUCCCGUCCCUCAGCUGCGUGCUGCUGGUAGUUCUCAGCUCACCCCCUCCAGAGGCUGCCCUUGGCUGAUGCCUGCAGGCAUUGAUAUUACGUGGUGAUGCCUGGGAAGUUAUAAGCAGUGACUGACUGACGUGGGUGGAUAGCAGCCUGGUCCCCUGGUCUCUGGAGUCCACAACUUCUUCGGUGCCAUUCACACUCCGGGAUUCCCAAGAAUCAGGCUGAGGCAAGAUUUCUCCUAAAAUUAUGUCCCGUUCAGCUUCUUCCUCUGCCCUGUUCUGCUUCCCUCACUUUCAUACCGAUUGAAGCUUUCAAUAAAGCACUUGCACAAAAAUUCCAUCUCAGUUUCUGAUUCUAGGGAGCUGACCUCAGAUACCCACAGAACUGACCUGGUCGCUUCUCCUAUAGCAUGGCAUUAGGCCUGGGGAAAGGGGAUGGGAGGCCCAGUCUUAGGGCACAGAAAAGCCUCCCCAAAAAGGUGACAUUUGAAUCAGGGCCUUGAAGGUUGAGUAAAAUUGUUGAGCUGAAUAGGAGUUCCCGUCGUGGCGCAGUGGUUAAUGAAUCCGACUAGGAACCAUGAGGUUGCAGGUUCGAUCCCUGGCCUUGCUAAGUGGGUUAAGGAUCCGGCGUUGCCGUGAGCUGUGGUGUAGGCCGGUGGCUAUAGCUCCGGUUCGACCCCUAGCCUGGGAACUUCCCUAUGCUGUGGGAGUGGCCCAAGAAAUGGCAAAAAGACAAAAAAAGAAAAAAGCUUGCCUGAUUUAAUUGCUCAGGACAUGAGAGGCCAGAGAUGCAACACGAGCAAAGGCUCUUGGGCAGGAAAAGGCAGGGCAAGUUCAAAGCGGAGAGUGGAGCUGCGGCUGGAGGGGAGGGGUACGGAAGGGAGGUAGAGGAGACAAGACUAGAAAGGAUGCUAGGGCCUGAGCAGAGGGUGGUCAUCCCCGUGCUGUAGGCUCAUGUCACCUAGCACCACACAGCGCUCGCAGCUGAUGGACCGUCAGACUCUUGCUGAGCCCAGACAGAGCCUCAGAAUCCUCACCUGGUGCCUGGCAGGCUCUAUCAGUCUGCUGAAUUAGCAUGUGAGUUGACACCCAGAGAAAGGCCAGGCUGGGCCAGUGAUGGGAUGUGUGAGCCAAACCCAGAGGCCUGCGGAGAAGGAGCCCAUGUACAGUAGAGGGCUCCCCAGGGAAGUGGCCAUUGUGGCCCAUAAAUAGGUUAGGCGGCCAGGAAACAGGAAAUCCUGACAAUACAAUGAGGCUUGGAGCACAGGGGUUUCCUCCAGGCUGAGGGCUGAACUAAGGAUGCUUCUUGGGCCUAAGGCCUUAUUGAAGCAAGGUUCCCUGAUCACUGGCCUCAGAUGCCUGGCCAGGCCUCAGGGUGAGGCCCACCCUCACUGGCCCCGGCUCAGCCAAGGGCGGCUCAGGUCAGGCCAGCACACGCCAGGACAGGCAGCAGAACCCUGAGGGAAGAGUCAUGACGGGCUUGGCUCCCAGCUGAGCUUGGAACUGGGCAGUGAUAGGAGCAGCUAGGGCAGCCAGACCAGGGGCCAGGGGGCUCCCCCAGGAUUAGGGGGUACUUCUACCAGGCCCUCCAGCCCAAGGAGCCUCUCUAUACCUCUAAGGCUACGUUGGUGGCUUGUCCCUGCCCUGGCUCCCCAAGGGCAUAGCAAGCACUAGGCUGGCCCUACCUGGACCCCAGCAAUGGAGCAACAAUGAGGUCCCUCAUUAGAGAACUAGACAGGCUGGAAAACCAUGUCCCAAAAUAAUAGUACUAAGAAAAUCAAGUAACAAAACAUGAUGUCCUAUGGGAUCCCAAUUUUGUUAAAAUACAAACAGGGUAGUUCCCGUCAUGGCACAGCGGAAACGAAUACAACUAGGAACCCAGAGGUUGCGGGUUUGAUCCCUGGCCUCACUCAGUGGGUUAAGGAUCCGGCAUUGCCGUGAACUGUGGUGUAGGUUGCAGACAUGGCUUGGAUCUGGCGUUGUGGUGGCUGUGGCGUAGGCCGGCAGCAAUAGCUCCCAUUAGACCCCUGGCCUGGGAACCUCCAUAUGCUGCAGGUAAGGCCCUAAAAAGACAAAAGAUUAAAAAAAAAUACAAACAUAAAAAUCUGGGCGUGUGUGUGUGUGUGUGUGUGUAUGCCCAUGCUUGUGCACAGAGGAGACUGGAAAGAGGACCAACAAAAUGUCAAAGCAGUAGAGUGUCAGGGAAUUUUUAUUUCUUCUUUAUUCUUUUCUGUC